Molecule: long non-coding RNA, 688 nt
Organism: Crotalus tigris (Tiger rattlesnake)
Lineage: Eukaryota; Metazoa; Chordata; Lepidosauria; Squamata; Viperidae
Exons: 3
Source: RefSeq, a predicted model, not a curated record
GCAGAAUCAAGAUCUGAGUUGCAGGGUUCAAAAACAAGAUGGGGAGAAGGCGGAAGUCCUGAGAGGAAAUAACGAUAUUAAAGAAGAAUUUAAAAGACAACAGAAAUCUCAAGGCUGCUGUCGGAAAAAGACAAGCUCUAAUUGAAGAACAAGGAGCGUUUGGUGAAAAAGGACCAACUGCAGAAAAAGAGUUUGAAGAAAGACAGAGCAGGCUCUUGGUCUUCCUUCAGGGUCUUCACCAAGGACCCCACCACCAUUUUGCCCACCUCCCCUCCUCCUCCUCCUCUCGUUGCUUCCAGCCCAGCAGCCUCUUCCCAGCGGUGAAGGAGAAGGGAACAGUUGAAAGGGUGCUGGGAGGCAUCAGGACCAGCAGAAUUUCACCCCCCCAUCCUCCUCCUUGAAAUGAUUGUUAUAUUUCUCCUUUCAAAGUUUGUCGCAUCAAUUUCUAAUCAAUAUCACAGAUUUUCAAACACCAAGAGUGAGAUUGUCCUUGCUGCAAAUCAUUAUUUAUGUAUCCAUUAGAUAAAUUACAAUAAAUUGCACUUCUGUAUCUUCUCACAAAAUAAACUUUUUAGCAAGCAAAUCUUUAUGAAUAAAGUUGGGAGCUUCAUUUUUUUUUAUUAUAUUUCUUCUCCUGGAAAUGACAAAUAAAAGAAAGAAUACCUGCAGAGCUUUCUGUAAAUAUUAU